Molecule: long non-coding RNA, 152 nt
Organism: Asparagus officinalis (garden asparagus)
Lineage: Eukaryota; Viridiplantae; Streptophyta; Magnoliopsida; Asparagales; Asparagaceae
Exons: 3
Source: RefSeq, a predicted model, not a curated record
GGAACCGAGAGACCAUUCUUUGGGAAUGAUUCAUUCAUAGCGCCAACCAUUGGGAUUAGCCCAAUAUCGAUUCCUGGCAUAUCUAACUUGCCUCGGAGUGAUGGACUUGCAGGACCAGCCACUGGGACUGAUUCUCUUAUGACUCCUGGUAU